Molecule: long non-coding RNA, 304 nt
Organism: Neoarius graeffei (lesser salmon catfish)
Lineage: Eukaryota; Metazoa; Chordata; Actinopteri; Siluriformes; Ariidae
Exons: 4
Source: RefSeq, a predicted model, not a curated record
CUAGGCGAUACGAGCCGGCGCAAGGACUAACUUUGCCUCAUAACGAAGCCGUGACAAGCUAUUUAGUGCGGGCUUUGUCGACAAAUCCAAAUCUUCAUGAUGCUGACAAAGACAACAUUGUGUCUGCCUGCAAGACGUAUUACGAAACCUUACGCAGGAGCUACAGAUACCAGCAGCCUGAUCUUUCGUUGCAGGCGGAAGCAAUGAAGUAGCCGGCUCGUAGUCGCUCCAGAAGAAAGAGGCUGUUUGACGCGAGACGAGGUGUCCUUGCUAUGGACGAGAUGGAUGUAUGGCAGUGUGCUAC